Long non-coding RNA from Schistocerca gregaria, 2334 nucleotides. RefSeq lists it as uncharacterized. The record is from RefSeq and is a predicted model, not a curated record. The transcript is spliced from 3 exons. Lineage: Eukaryota; Metazoa; Arthropoda; Insecta; Orthoptera; Acrididae.
ACACCAUGUUAAAAGCAUCUGUGAAGUGUUAACAAACAUGUGUAUACAAAUGUGCCUCUUGAAUGAAGUGACAUGUACGAAAACGAUGGAGAAACGAAUGUUUGCUGGUACUAAAACGUUAAAAACGCUUUUCUUGGAUUAUGUGGAACAUAAAAAUGGUGCGAAAUUAUAAAAGAAAAAGUAAAAGAGGAAUGAUUUCUUAAGAUACAAUGCUAAAAGCAGUUUUAGAAGUAAAAGAAAAAGAAAGAUCUGUGAGGGUUACUAGUGAGAUAUUUGGAAUUCCAAGAAAAACUUUGGGGAAGUACUGUGCUAAGUACAUACAGACCACAUGUCAGCCUACACAGUCAAUUGAACUUCAGUAAGCUGAAACUGAACCUCAACCCAUGCCAGUGGACCAAAACCCUCUGCCUGGAGGAGUCCUACAAAUACUUAAUGACAAAAAGAAGCCUUGGGAUAAAUUUGGCUAUGAUUAAAGAUUUCAGAUAUUUAAUUCCGAACAAGAAGAUAUGCUUCAACAAUACCUCAUGAAGGCAAGUGACAUACCGUAUGUUAUGGUCUUUCCGCAAAAGAAGUCAGACGGUUUGCGUAUAGAUAUGCUAUUGCAUACAACAAUAAAAUACUCCAAACAUGAACUGAGACCGAAAUGGCGGUAAGUGAUUGGUUCACAGGAUUCUUGAAGAGGCACCCUCAACUCUCCAUUCAAACAACUAGUUUAGCUCGGUGCACCAGUUUCAACAAGCAUAAUGUAGAACUGUUUUUUCAUAAUCUCGACAUAGUUUUAAAAAGAUUAAAAGUGACCCCUGCGGACAUCUGGAACAUUGCCGAAACUGGAGCAACUACCGUCCAGCAUCCUGAUCGUUUAGUCGCUCGAAGAGGUUUUCGCCAAAUACGGCUGAGAGAGGGUCAUUUAUUAUGAUCGCAUUUGCAGUUAGUGUGUUAGAUAAUAGUGUGCCUCCAUUCUUCAUCUUGCUGAGGGUCAACUUCAAGCCUCAUUUUAUCCUUGACGACCCGAUUGGGUGUGAUGGAGCAGCUCAUCCUUCGGGAUGGAUGACAGAGACAAGCUCUGCAAAAUAUAUGAAAUAUUUUGUUCUACAUGCUCGCUGCUCAAAAGAACGCCCUUGCUUGGUUUUGAUUGAUAAUCACAGUUCACGUCUCGAUUAUGAAGUUCUUGAUUAUUGAAAAGAUAAUGGAAUCGCCUUUCUAUCUUUUCAAGCGCAUUGUAGCCACAAGCUGCAGUCUUUAGACAGAAGUGUUUAUUGGCCUUUUAAAAAGUUCGUGAAUUCAGCAUGUGAUGCAUGGGUUACCAAUAAUAAACGGCCUAUGACUAUUUACGACAUCCCAUCUAUAGUUUGAAUAGCACUUCCAAAUGCUGUAACUCACAAUAACAUAACCAGUGGAUUCAAGGUAACUGGGAUCAAUCCCGUUAACAAAAAUAUUUUUACUGACAGUGAUUUUAUGCCUUCCUACACUGAAAACAGUCCAUCAACUCGAGCUGAGAUAUAAGUAAGAACGUUUCCAGCUACAGAGGUCAGACCUUUUGAAAACGCAGAACCCAGAAAAAGUAUGGGAGCAGGGAAAAGGAAAAGAGUUUCUGCUAUAGUGACAGACACUCCAGUAAAAAAAAAAAGUCCUCGAGGAAGAACAAAAACGUGCAAAAGAAAAGAAGGCGAAAGCAUUGGAAAGAAAACUUAAAUCACAGGCUAAAAAAGCACUUUUUCAAAAAAAAAAGUAGGAGCAAUGGUAGAAUGAAAUCAAAUGCAGUAGGCCUAAAACGCAAGAAGAAGCCAAUGGAAGAUGACAAUGAUGAAGAUGAUAACAAUGAGGAAGAUGAAGAUUCACUGUGCCUAAGGUGUCUCAAGCCUUUUUCAAAUACUCAGCCUGGAGCACAAACUGCAAGCGUUGGGCUCAUCAGAUAUGCAUUAAAAAUGAAAUUCGUAGACUAUUUUAUAAGUGUUAUAACUGUGCUGAUCCUUUGGAUGUGAACAGUGAUUAAAGUUGAUUGGUUUUUAUUAAGACACUAUAAUUCCUAAUAAUUUUAAGCUUUCCCAUUGUCAUAAUAAAAUCUUAAGAAUUUCACUCAAUAAUCAACUUGAUUUGAUGUACAUUAAAGUAUGUUUCUUGAUAACUAUUACUUAUAUUUUGAUAUCCUAAAGUUAUACUCUAGGCCAACUUUCCCCGAGGUUGGGGCAGAUUGGCUCGCUUGACAUAUGUCCAGUAAUUAAUUUUUUUUAACUUUUUAACUCAUAUUUUCAAGGUUAAUAAUUGUGAUCCAGAUUCAGUAUGACUGCCCUAAAUAUUUAUCAAUAAUUUCAUAAAUUUAAAGAUGUAAAAAAA